AGUGUCCAGGAAUGGGAAUCGAACCCACAUUGUUCCGCUUACUUGGCAGAUGCCAUGUCCACUAAGCUGGACAU
RNAcentral lists this transfer RNA (74 nucleotides) under Cordylochernes scorpioides. RNAcentral describes it as "tRNA-Thr". Lineage: Eukaryota; Metazoa; Arthropoda; Arachnida; Pseudoscorpiones; Chernetidae. The record is from RNAcentral.